This 253-nucleotide ribosomal RNA is filed under the name uncultured bacterium. RNAcentral describes it as "partial 16S ribosomal RNA". It matches the Rfam family "Bacterial small subunit ribosomal RNA", at positions 524 to 776 of the family's 1533-position model. The record is from RNAcentral.
UACGAAGGGGGCUAGCGUUGUUCGGAAUUACUGGGCGUAAAGCGCACGUAGGCGGAUUGUUAAGUUAGGGGUGAAAUCCCGGGGCUCAACCCCGGAACUGCCUUUAAUACUGGCAAUCUCGAGUCCGAGAGAGGUGAGUGGAAUUCCGAGUGUAGAGGUGAAAUUCGUAGAUAUUAGGAGGAACACCGGUGGCGAAGGCGACACUCUGGACAAUAACUGACGCUGAGGCGCGAAAGCGUGGGGAUCAAACAGG